AAACUUGAGAGUUUGAUCCUGGCUCAGAACGAACGCUGGCGGCAGGCUUAACACAUGCAAGUCGAGCGCCCCGCAAGGGGAGCGGCAGACGGGUGAGUAACGCGUGGGAAUCUACCUAUCUCUACGGAACAACUCCGGGAAACUGGAGCUAAUACCGUAUACGCCCUUCGGGGGAAAGAUUUAUCGGAGAUAGAUGAGCCCGCGUUGGAUUAUCUAGUUGGUGGGGUAAUGGCC
RNAcentral lists this ribosomal RNA (234 nucleotides) under Alphaproteobacteria bacterium. Its description in RNAcentral is "partial 16S ribosomal RNA". It matches the Rfam family "Bacterial small subunit ribosomal RNA", at positions 1 to 265 of the family's 1533-position model. Lineage: Bacteria; Pseudomonadati; Pseudomonadota; Alphaproteobacteria. The record is from RNAcentral.